RNAcentral lists this transfer RNA (73 nucleotides) under Neotoma lepida (desert woodrat). It matches the Rfam family "tRNA". Rfam says of the family: Transfer RNA (tRNA) molecules are approximately 80 nucleotides in length. The record is from Rfam by way of RNAcentral. Lineage: Eukaryota; Metazoa; Chordata; Mammalia; Rodentia; Cricetidae.
UGGCCUGUGGCUCAGUUAGUAAAGUGUUUGCCUUGCAAGCGUAAGGGCAUGAGUUCAAUUCUCAGAAGGGCAU